Long non-coding RNA from Triplophysa rosa, 427 nucleotides. RefSeq lists it as uncharacterized. The transcript has 3 exons. The record is from RefSeq and is a predicted model, not a curated record. NCBI's taxonomy places the organism in Eukaryota, Metazoa, Chordata, Actinopteri, Cypriniformes, Nemacheilidae.
GUAGAUGUUGCCAUUGCGACAGGCCACAGUGAUACGGAACUCCACAUCAAACUGACCAGUCACAUCCAUGAAGGUGGGAGUAGUGGGCAGAGACAUCUACAGACACACACAGGACAGCUGACUGCAUCAUCAUCUGCCAUGUUCUUCUUCAACGUCCCUAUACAGAUUUCGUUACCUGGCGGCGUAUAGGCUGGUCUUUGUGAAGAUGAACAAAAGCCUCCAUUUCCUGUAGAUCAAGCAUGAGGUACCUGAACAAACCAAAAUCUGUUUAUUUGAAGCUACAUGAUAUUCCAGGUGCAGAUGAAGAGAAUAUUUCAAUGAAUAAUUGCCAAAGAAAAUCUACUGAUAUCAUUGUUGGAAUGACACGAAUGGCACUGUUAUUGUUGUCUGAAAAAUGAUGCACUGACCAUAACAAAGACAAGGGAGG